Molecule: long non-coding RNA, 1088 nt
Organism: Cebus imitator (Panamanian white-faced capuchin)
Lineage: Eukaryota; Metazoa; Chordata; Mammalia; Primates; Cebidae
Exons: 3
Source: RefSeq, a predicted model, not a curated record
AAGUUCUAUGCUAAGAUUGUAUCCUUGAUGAAUGAUUUUCUAUUUUUUUUUUCCUAGAUAGGACUUCCACAUGAUGGACAAUAAACAAGAGAUAGGCCAGGCAUGGUGGCUCAUGCCUGUAAUCUCAGCACUUUGGGAGGCCAAGCCAUGUGGAGAAGCAAGUCUGCGGCUCUCUAGCAAUCCUGGAUUUUAUGGAUAUUAUCUCUCCCAUCUCAGAGGGUUUCAAGGCCCAUAAACCUGCUCCUCCCGCAGCUUGCAGUUCCGGGGUGGAUGAACCGCUCUGUGUCCCAGCCCACUCUCCGCUGUUGAGGAUCGGCAUCCCGGGAUCUUUGGUUACGGAGGGUACAGGUCUGCCCUAUCCUGCUGAGCCCAGCACAUUUCUUUCCUUCUUCCCUGCGCCCCCGUUCCUUGGCCACAGGGUAGAGGUGAGCUCAUGCCCCUGCCUCUCCAUUCUCUCCACCUCCAUUCUGGCAUGUUGGCCCCACUGUUCUCAGACUGGAGUGCUCGGGCAAUUUGCUUUUUGUUUGGGGGGGCUGUCCAGCUGUAACCCCUUCCCUGGACUGGGCUGCUCCACACUUGGGGUCCAGCCAAGGUCCAGGAAGGGGAGGAGGUUUGGGGAUGGAGACUGUGGACCCCACCUCCUCCUGGGAAUGGGCACCUGGAUGGCAGCUUUAUGGCCAUGUGAAAGCAGAGCAGACAUCACUCAUUCCAUCCUCAUUCAUUCACCCACAACAAGUGAUGCAGAUACCCAAGAUGACUAAGAAACGGCCCCUGCUUUCAAAAAGCUCAGUCUAGUCCCAUGAUGUCCUUGAGCGCACCCCCUCAAAAAAGUUGUAUCAAGCAGUGGGUAAGGGGAAGUGACCUCCGAGAAGGAUAUAACAGUGGAAAUUACCUAUCUUAACGAUACAUUUAAAUUCAGCUUUGUAAAAGAGUUUUAUAGAGUGGGAAAAAGAAUCAGAAUCGAGUAAAUUUGAGAGAUGAAGCCAAGUGUGCUUCUAGAAAAGUCUGUUUGCAUUUCAAAGGUUUCUCUCCUUUCCACAGUGGCUCAUACCUAUACUCUCAGUGAUUUGGGAGGUCAAGGCCGGGAG